Molecule: long non-coding RNA, 2179 nt
Organism: Prinia subflava (tawny-flanked prinia)
Lineage: Eukaryota; Metazoa; Chordata; Aves; Passeriformes; Cisticolidae
Exons: 3
Source: RefSeq, a predicted model, not a curated record
CUGUGGCAUUGAGAGGUGACUGAAAGCAGAGGUCAGGGUAGAGCCAGGAGAGGGGCACAGCUCAGGACCCUGCGUGCCACAAGCACCGCAGCUGAGACCUCACCCGGAGAAACAGCGCUUGGAAAUGUGGCAAUGGGGGAGGUGUGUUCAUCCCCUCGGGGCCCCAAAACACCCUCAGAGCUGUUUGCACAAGCACUGUACUGCUACCUCUCCAGAGAUCCCCUAAAGGAUUUCAUCCAUGCUCUGCUGAUUUUUUUCCCUAGGUUCUCCACAGAAGAGGAUCGGUUUUCCCACAGGGACAGAAAGUUCUGGGUGCUCAGAAACAGAACACCGGGAUAUGACCAUGCAUAAGGAAGGGAACCCCGGGCACAGAGGAGUGCAGCAAGGCCACUCCAUCCUGCUGGGAGGACACGCAGGGCUGGGUCACAGCACUGUCCCUGCACCCAGCCUGGCACAGCAAAUGUGGUGGGACUGACCUGGAAGGGCAGCAAUGCCCACCCUACACAGCCCUGAGCCAGCUGUCCCUCAAAGGUCAGCCUAAACCUCUGCCACAGAACCUCCCGAGCACUCGGUGCUGUGUCCUGAGCACCCAGGACGUGCAACCCUGAAUCCCAAACUAACAGAGGGGUGUGAACCUCAGUAAUGCCCUUUCAUAACUCCACCAAGCAUAAGAGCUCCUCUUCCCCCAAACAUAAACAGGAUUUAAAAAAUAUUAUGAAAUUAAACAAAUCUGGAUUAAGAUGAGCACUUACAUUCUGGGGGAAGAAAAUUGACUUAAUGCCAGAUGAUGCAAGAUGGAGCUCCUGCUGGGGUAGGUAAUUACUGCUGGCUGUAAGGUGAUUUUUUUUCCCUAUCUGAUCUGAGGAGAAACAUUGUAUCCAAUUCCUUUGACACACUUGCAAAUGGUUUUAAACACUUCAGGAGUGAAAGAGCUGAGAGCUUCUGUUUGCAUUCCUAAAAAGGCACAUGAGCAUGUUUUUUGGCUGGUUUCACUGGGGCAGGUAGGGCAGCUGGGCAGGCUGCUCAGAAGAAGUAGCAAGCUGUACCGUUUGUUGUCCUCUCUGCAACAGUGUCACACUGCAGUUUUCCUUGUUUCCAUAAAUAAAUAGAAACAAAUGUAGACCAAGUUCUGAGUUCCUUAGCAUUUUCUCUCUGGCUUGUGGAUCUGCAGAGCACAUACUUUUAUUAUGACUACAGAAACUUGGCAAUUUCAGCUUACCACCCCUUUCAGAAGGGACAGCUAAAAAAAUCAUUUAAAAUGCUGCCAAACCAGGUAUAUUUAGAAGACCAGAGUUUUUUUCAGAGAGACAAUUGUAAGUAGAGUUUCAUUUGAAAUAUAAUGUCCUAAGCACAUGAAAUACCUUGGCUCUGCAUGUUUAGUUGAGAGUCUGAAAUGAAGUAUUUGAUGCUAAGUGAAAGCUGUUGCCUGGAAACAAGAUAAAACAGUGAAAACACAAUUGUUUGAACUAAGAAAGAACAUUACCAUCAGCAGAGCCAGCACUAGUUUUAGCUGGAUCAGAUUUAUUAAGCAAAUUCAGAUUCUAGUACCAGAAAGGCCCUACAUAUCUUCAAGUGUGUGGGGUCAGCCUCUCCUGUUUCUGUUUAUUCUGGCCGCAGAAGGUUUCUUUCAAACAGAAUAAAAAAAAAAAUGAAGUACCCGACUUCACUUCCAUCCUCUGCGGAAGGAAAAAAACAGAAGGCCACAAGAUGGCACUGGUCAAACACUCAAGAUAUUAACGGAGAGUUGGCUGAUGAGCACAGAUGAUGCCCAAGCCCAGUUUGUGGGGUUAUGUCUGUGUCCCACACGUGUGCCCGCAGGUCUGGUGAACCUUCUCUAAUAGGUUGAUGCCAGGUGCAGAAACACCAAAAGGUUUAGCUACGGUCAGAACCAUCAGCAGAGGCAACUGAGCAGCCAAUUCCUGUGAUGGCACAGGAUGGGCCCUGGGCAUUCCUCCCUCAGGGAGACAGUGCUGGGGCUCAGCCCUCCGUGGGCAGGUUCGGUGCCGUGCCCUGGCACAGAGCGGGCAGGUUCGGUGCCGUGCCCCUGGCACAGAGCGGGCAGGUUCGGUGCCGUGCCCCUGGCACAGAGCGGGCAGGUUCGGUGCCGUGCCCCUGGCACAGAGCGGGCAGGUUCGGUGCCGUGCCCUGGCACAGAGCGGGCAGGUUCGGUGCCGUGCCC